AACGAACGCUGGCGGCGCGCCUAAUACAUGCAAGUCGAGCGAGAAGACGUAGCAAUACGUUUGUAAAGCGGCGAACGGGUGAGGAACACAUGGGUAACCUACCCUAGAGUGGGGAAUAACUAGCCGAAAGGUUAGCUAAUACCGCGUACGCUCCUUGGACUUCGGUACAGGGAGGAAAGCGAUACCGUGGGUAUCGCGCUCUUGGAUGGGCUCAUGUCCUAUCAGCUUGUUGGUGAGGAACGGCUCACCAAGGCUUCGACGGGUAGCUGGUCUGAGAGGACGAUCAGCCACACUGGCACUGCGACACGGGCCAGACUCCUACGGGAGGCAGCAGUAAGGAAUAUUGCGCAAUGGGCGAAAGCCUGACGCAGCGACGCCGCGUGGGGGAUGAAGGUCUUCGGAUUGUAAACCCCUUUCGGGAGGGAAGAUGGAACGAGCAAUCGUUCGGACGGUACCUCCAGAAGCA
Molecule: ribosomal RNA, 466 nt
Filed under: uncultured bacterium
Lineage: Bacteria
Description: bacterial SSU rRNA
Rfam family: Bacterial small subunit ribosomal RNA
Source: RNAcentral